Long non-coding RNA from Argiope bruennichi, 5126 nucleotides. RefSeq lists it as uncharacterized. The transcript has 5 exons. The record is from RefSeq and is a predicted model, not a curated record. Lineage: Eukaryota; Metazoa; Arthropoda; Arachnida; Araneae; Araneidae.
CUUUAUGUUGUUCUGGCUGCGCGCUGCUGCGUUUGAAAUUUCUGGAACCGGCGUAUAGUAACCGUUGUUGCUAUUUUUCUCUGCCUCUUACUUCUUUCCAACUUUAAUAUUUGAUCCUUUCGAUACAUAAACUGUUGAUGUGAACAGAAAACUUGAAUUUCAUUGUUUUUUGCGACAGAAUUUCAAAUUUUUAUAAGCAUAUGUUUUUAAAAAAAUACUGAAAGUUUGUCUUUGCAAUAUGGCUGCCCUGAACAUUGUUAAUACAAAACAGCACUUUUAAUGCUUUUCCAGUUGAGUUCUGUAUAAAAGUCAGAUUUUGAAAUCUUCUGUAAGGUCGAGAUAAAAGAUAUAAUAAUGAAAUCUGAACAGUUUGCUUUGUUUGGUUUUUCGGAUCAUCCUGAUGAAUCUGAUUCUGAAAGUAUUGAUGGAGAAGACUUGCCACCUAAUCAAGUUAUGGAGGAUCCAGUAAAUGAGCAUGUAGUAGGUGAAGAGAAUGGUAGUUCAAUUGUUCAUCCAGGAGGACUUAAUCUGGCGGGACAAAGCUUAGUAAUUACUGAGAGCGCUGACGGAUCCGAAAUUCUUAUUUUUUUGGAAAAUGAUCCAGCUUUGAGUCAGCAUCUUUUAAAACAAAAUGCAAGUGUCAAUUCCAUUGAGAGUGGUAUAUGUGAUGUCAAUCUCAGUGAAGAAGAUUCAAAACAAAAGGAUAAUACCAAUCCCAAUGAGGAUGAUUCAAAACAAAGGGAUAUUGGUACCAAUGAAAAAGAUCCAGAAGAAGAUAAUGUUAAUCCCAAUGAGGAUGAUUUAAAAGAAGAGGAUAUGUAAUAUUGAGGAUGAUUUAAAUCAAAAGAAUAGAGGAGAGUUGGGAGGAAUGUGACAGAUUUUUAAAAAAAUAAUUCACUAGUUUGGAAUUCAGUUUACAAAAAUCUAACAGUAUGUUUUUAAUUUAUUUUUUAAAAAAUAGCAAAACAAUAAGCUUUUAUUUGUUUAGUUAAAAAUUGUAGCAUUUUUAUCCCACACUUCCCUUAUACGAGGGAGGUAUGGGACAAUGUUUUAAAAAAAUAAAAAUUACUAAAUAUUUUUUUUAAUCCUUUUCAUUUAAUGAAUUAUGGUUUUGAACAUGCCAAACAGGAGCUGAUUUUGAAAUCUUCAUUGGUGCUGCCACAUCUUUAAAAGUUUUCUUUUGCAACCAUCUCCACUGAUUGUAAUUUGCUAUUAUUUCGUAGAUUUUCUCUAACUGGGUGUUUUUUCUGACAUUUUUAUAGAAUAUAUAAAAUUAGUAAUUCUUUUUAAUUUAGUGCAACAAAAGCUUUAAUAAAUAACUUUCAGAAUUUAGCUUUUUUUUCUUUGUUUAAAAUUUAUUAAAUUUUAUUAUGUUUGCAAUAGAAUUUCCUUUAACCGAAAUUAAGUGGUAAACAUGAUUUUAUACAGAAGGAUCUACUGUAUGUGUACAUAAUUUAUAAGAUACAAUUAUUAACAAAACAUGUUUAGAUACACUGGUGCUCUUAAGUGAACUUUUGAAAAAGAGUGGAAUUUUGUUUUAUGCUUUUUGUUUUGGUUAAUGUUAGCUGAACGUGAAUCAUUAGCAUAUUUAGAAAAUAUAUUGAAAUGUAAGCAAGUAUGUCCCAUUCUUCCAUCUGUAGAAAUUUUCUUCCAAAAUGUAUAUCACGUAAAAUAUGCUAUAUUUAAGCAUAAUAUGAUUGUUAGUUUGUAAACAUAUCUUUGAGUUAAUUAUAGGUUUAAUAUAUUUUUAUUUUACAACUAAUAAGAUUAUAAAAAAUUAUUGAAAAAAUAAUAUUUGUAUUUACUUCUGAGGCAUAAAAAUCUGUUUUCUAUUUUAAAUACAAAUAAUAUCAUAGAUGGUGUAACAAUUAUGAUCAAGCAAGGGACUAUAGCUGCUUUAUUUAAUAAAGAAAUUAGAAAACGAUACUGAUCUUUUAUUAAUUCAUAAAUGCAGCUGUCCCAUUCCUCCCAACUCUCCUCUUGUAUCAGUUGUAUUGAAGAUGUUUCAAAGCAAAACGAUUGCAUUAUUUUUAGUGAUAAUGAUUCAUAUGCCUUAUUUAAUGUUGAUUAAAUUCAAAAUUUGGAUAGUAAAAUUUCUAAUCUCUUUUUAAAGAAAUGCAAAUUAAAUUAAAAUGCAAUGAAAAAUAAAGGUUGAUUUAAUAAUGGUAGUGACUGGAUAUCUCAAUGGAUAUUGUCCUAAUUCAAAACUUGGGUAACAAAAUUUCUAGUCGAUCUUCAAACAACUGACAAAUUGAAAUUAAGUAAAAAGAUAAUUUUGAUUGCGAUGAUAAAGAUUCAGAUACCUUAAUGGACAAUGACCAAAUUCCAAUAUCAGAUAAAAAUUUCCGAUCCUUCUUUCAAUAACUGCAAAAAAGAAAUUGAAUCUACAAAUUCUGAAGAAGGCCUGCUUUGACAUUCAGACUCGUCCUGAAAGACUUCUUUUAUCACGUGGUGAUAAUUCUAAACAAAUAAGGUCUUUCUUUUCUGUAAACUGUGAAUAAAAAGAUCAUAAUCUUAAUAAAUUUGAAACAGCUUCAGUUUGUUAGUUCAAGUACAUUAAAGAAGGCCGUAUAUGAAUAUGAAUUUGAAAAAGUUCAAGCAUUUUAAAUCUUAAGUUGAAUCACAAUACUUCUCUGUGUGCACAGCCUUCUGAUAUGAGAAAUGCUAAUGUUAUAAAUACAGGAGUUGAUGCCAAUCAAAUCUGUCAGGCAGUUGGUUCUGUUGUUGAAGGUUUGAUUGGAAAUCUAACAUUUCAUCAAACAUUAACUUCUGUCCAUAAAACAUAAUGAAAAUCUUCCUGGCAAUCAAAAUAAUGAAACUUUCUAUGAUAAUUUUCAAGAUUUGUUUCUUCAGGAUUCACAAAGUGAUGAAAAAAUUCAGAAAGGUGUUACAAAUUCUGAUGAAGAAUGAAUUAAAAAUAAGCAAAAUUCUGUUUGUAUUGAGAUAAACCCUACUGAUCAGGAUGAAAAAAUCUGAAGAAAAAAUGGUUGUGAAUAAUAAUACAAACAAGAAUAUGGAUUUAAAUUUAUUUGCUUCUGAUGAAAUUACUGUGAAACCAGCACAAUGAACUUAUGUUUGUAAAAAGAGAAUUUCUGAUUCAGGAAAAGAUAUUGAACAGUUUUCUUUAGAUGAAUUAUCUGAUCCUAAAGAUGAAAUCUCUUUGUAUUCCCCAAAGAUUUUUUUGCCUUGACAACAAAUUAUGAAAGAUGAGAACAUUUGGACUGAUGAGAAUGGGUAUGUUAAUUUAAUCCUUCUGACAUGACUGCAGAAUAAGACUAUGAUCUUCAGAUCAUUUUGAAAUAGCUCCUGAACCUGUUAAGGAUACUGAAGAUUCAUUUAGUAUAUACUGGGAAGCCUGUUUAAUGGAAGCAUCAUUAAACCUAGAAAUACAGGGGAAAAUGGAAGAGGAUGCACCAAAAGCAUCCUGUUCCAAAGGUGUAAUCUCCGAAAAGUUUUCUUGCAAAGACAAUUUGAAAUCCUUCAUAUUAAAAUAUGUUAGAAAUGGACAACAAUGGGACAAGCUAAUUGAAAGUUCGCCAGUUAAAAUGAAGGAUGUAUCUUAAGAAAAAAGAAAAAUUAGGGAGAAAAUAAAAAACAGGUAGAAAAGAACUCUUUGUAACUCUGAAAAUUUUAAUAGAUCACCUUCUGUCUCUAAAUAUAAAAACAGUCGGCUAUGUAAGCUUAGUAAAAAAUAUAUAUCUAUUUUACAUUCAACAUUUUCUUCUGAAAUGAUAAUAACUUGUGGUAUUGAGUUUAUUAAUAAUAAUUCAAUAAAAAAAAAUAAUUCUGGUGCAAUUGAUGAUCUGAAUAUUCUUGCAACAGCAUUUGAAUAAUUUCCAAUGUAAUUGUUCAAAUUGUGAUUUUGUUAGUAAUGGAAUAAAUAAUCUUAUUAUCCACUUGAAAUACUUUACAUUUAAGCCUUCAACCAAUAUGAUAAAUUAUCGAAUUAAUGACAUGGAAAAGAGACAAUGAAUACAUGGAAAUUUCACUGAAAGUGAUUUUCCUGUAGAGAAAGAAGUCUUUGAGUGUUAUGAUAGCUUAUUGAUUUAAUGACAUGGGAAGGAAGACGAGAGAUACACGGAGAUUUCUCUGAAAGUGAUUUGUCUGUAGAAAAGCAUUCAAGGGAUAUAUCAGAUUAUUACCUUAGGGACUUGGAAGGAGAUAUUGAAUAUGUGGAGAUCUCACUAAAAGUGAUUCACCUGUAGAGAAGCAUUCUACUAAUAUAAUAGACUACCAAGUUAAUGACAUGAAAAGGAGACAAUGGUUAUGUGGAAAUAGAAUUGAGAAGAGUUCCAUUUCACAGAAUUUUUCAAGUGGUUCUGUUAUUGAUUAUUACUUCUAGUGUGCUGUUUGUAUUCCUGGUGGAACAUCCUGUAGUCUGCCAAAUCAUUUAGCUCUUGCAUGUGAGGUUAUUAAUUCUGAGCCAUCUAAAGAUAAUUUGCACAACUUAUUUUGCGAAUAUGGAAUGAUUCUUUCAAAUGAUCCUAUAUCUGUUCAUUCUGACAUAUACUAGUUACGAUUCACUGUAGGUUAGUUGGUCGAGUUCUAUUAGUGUGCUAGUUAAAUUCUAUAGUCUAUUCUCAGCUCUGUGUUAAAAGUGCAGUCACUGAAGCCUCACAGAGAAGAAAAGCAAUUUGUAUGUGUCAAAUGCCAAGAUCUUCUUUCCCUUAUUUUGAAGAAGCAAGAACAACCAUUUAUAAAUUACAAAGAGUGAAGCCAGUGAAAGAUGUUGAACUAUAUAUUUACAGUUGAUUGCAAUCGAUAUUCUCUAUGUGCUUUGUUAUUUAUGUGUUGAAUUGGCUGCCACGAACUAUCAUUUAUAAAUUAAAAGGAGUGGCUCCAGUGAAGAUGUUGGACUAUAUAUUUACACUUGAUUGCAAUCGAUAUUCUAUAUGUGCUUUGAUAUUAUCUGUUGAAUUGGUCACCAUGAACAUUAAAGUUAAUCUGGAAAUUGGUGAUUUUAAAUGAUAUAAAUGUUUAGUCAGUUUCAUCAGAGAUAAAUCAUUUGUUGUGGUUUAAUUUUCUUGUUAAGAAUUUCAUUCAUAUGUAUCUUUUUGAAGUUAUUCCUAGCACUUGCCUCCUGUAGAUACUUAAUUAAAAAAUCUUUUGUGUGAGUUGUUCAAAAA